AACGCUUUUUACCUUGCGUACUAUAAAAGAAGUAAUCCGACUGCGUAGUAGUGGCGAGUUAAUUCUAUUUGCCAAGUUUCAACAUAGCAGAAAAACUUCCUUUAUACCAAUAAAUGCAGACCUUGCUACGAUGUCGUAUUAAUCAAAUUGCCGUGUUUCCUAUCAAAAAAAAGAAAACUGCGGAAGACAGCCUUUAUUGGUUUAAGCUUGCUGUUGCUUCCGUUCUGUUUCUCGUCAAUGAAUGCUUAAAAGAAUGAGAGAUAAACACUAUUGAAAUAUUUAAAAUUUUGUUUUAUUUUGGUUGAAGAGGAAAAAUAUUUACAACUUAUGUAUCUAUAAAUAAACCAAUCAAUCUAAACAGCUUCAGUAUCUCCUCCUUCCAAUAAAAUACAGAAAAAACAUUAUUAUUCACAGUAUGGCACCUCAUAGAACACCUGCAUGCGCUGUUACAAACAUGACGUCAGCAUAUAUUAAUAACAAACGUUUCCAUGGAAACUACAGAACACAAAAUGAAUAAAAUACAAUAGAGAAAAGAAAAAGAUAUUGCGAUUAGGAAAUUAUCUUUUCAUCGGAAAGUAGGGGAGGCUUAUAUCCUUGUUGAAACUUGCUAUAUGAAGGAUUUUGGUAAAGAAAAUUAGCACACACACACAGGCACACAGACAGUAAUAUACAGCUGUACGGCUCUACGACAAUAUUCUAGAACCACAACAACAUCAAGUAUCGAAGAGAAAUUUCAAUUCUGCAUAGAAACUUGUUCUAUAACCACUCACCAAUGUUUGACAAUAGGUGGAAAUGAAGUUCAGAUGCUUAUGGUGUGUUUUCAAGCUCAACAAAUAUGUAAAUCUAACUGUGCAAUAGAUAGGCUUAGACACAGACGAAGAUUUAUUUGGAAAGGAAAAGAUGACAAACCGACGUAAUUAUUAGGUUUUUUGUAAAAGAUACUUGUUAUGGAAAUUUUGCUUUGUAUUUAAUAGAGAUUGGAUACAUUUUAUGUUUGCUUUUAAUCAUGUCACAUAACUACUGGUUAUUUUUAGAAGAUAUAUUUUGUCUAAAUGUA
Molecule: long non-coding RNA, 1057 nt
Organism: Hydractinia symbiolongicarpus
Lineage: Eukaryota; Metazoa; Cnidaria; Hydrozoa; Anthoathecata; Hydractiniidae
Exons: 2
Source: RefSeq, a predicted model, not a curated record